GGACCCAUAGCUCAGCGGUAGAGCGUCGGAUUCCAGACCCGAAGGUCAUCCGUUCAAAUCGGGUUGGGUUCA
This is a non-coding RNA of Xylaria palmicola, 72 nucleotides long. Lineage: Eukaryota; Fungi; Ascomycota; Sordariomycetes; Xylariales; Xylariaceae. The record is from the annotation of a GenBank genome assembly.